Small nuclear RNA from Hyaena hyaena (striped hyena), 104 nucleotides. The record is from RefSeq and is a predicted model, not a curated record. Lineage: Eukaryota; Metazoa; Chordata; Mammalia; Carnivora; Hyaenidae.
GUGCUCACUUCAGCAGAACAUACAUUCAAAUUGGAAAGAUACAGAGACUAGCAUGGCCCCUGAACAAGGGUGAAACACAAAUUCGUGAAGUGUUCCAUAUUCAU